GAGAGGGCGUGGCCUGGACAGUGGGGCGCAAGCGAGGUCAGUGAGAGGGUGUGGUCUGGACAGGAGGGUGGACGUGAGGUCAGUGAGAGGGCGUGGCCUGGACAGGAGGGCGGAAGUGAGGUCAGUAAGAGGGCGUGGUCUGGACAGGAGGGCAGAAUUGAGGUCAGUGAGAGGGCGUGGCCUGGACAGAAGGGCGGAAGUGAGGUCAGUAAGAGGGUGUGGUCUGGACUGGAGGGCGGAAGUUGGUGCUGGUUUACAUGGGUUUCCCUUCUGUGCAUCUGUAGAAGAGGAAGAAGAGAGCUUAGUGGACUUUAUCACCCCUCGAGCUGACAUCUUACCCUCCAUUAAGUCCUUUGACUGCCUCACGUGUGUAACACUACUUAUCUUAACACUGGCCUUAGUUUGAGUUGUUACUAGCUUUCAACCCAGUGCCAGGCAAAGAACAUUCGGGAGGACAUUGCCUGUCAAAUUCCUAAGAAGGUAGUUGGUAUUAUUAGACUUCGAUGACCUGUGGGGGGCACAAUGUCAGGAGCAUGCUCACUUUUCCUUUCAUAAACGGCAC
Erpetoichthys calabaricus (reedfish) is the source of this 562-nucleotide long non-coding RNA. RefSeq lists it as uncharacterized. The transcript is spliced from 3 exons. NCBI's taxonomy places the organism in Eukaryota, Metazoa, Chordata, Cladistia, Polypteriformes, Polypteridae. The record is from RefSeq and is a predicted model, not a curated record.